This 603-nucleotide ribosomal RNA is filed under the name Triticum aestivum (bread wheat). RNAcentral's name for it is "partial small subunit ribosomal RNA". Lineage: Eukaryota; Viridiplantae; Streptophyta; Magnoliopsida; Poales; Poaceae. The record is from RNAcentral.
AUGGCCAAAUAUUGGUGGGGCUGUUCCCUCGACAAAAGAUCCUUGCACUGUAUGUCAUGGGACAAACUGACUGUGCCAAAGGCCAAGGGAGGUAUGGGUUUUCGGUACCCUGAAGUGUUCAAUCUCGCGAUGUUGGGCAAGCAGGGCUGGCGACUGCUUACAAACCCGGACUCCCUGUGUGCCCGGGUGUUGAAAGGAAGACAUUCACCACAGACUGACUUCCUUCAUGCUACGGCGCCGAGCCGGGCGUCUGCUACGUGGAAGGCGAUCGUGGCUGGACGGAGGGUGCUGGAAGAGGGCUUGAUACAUAGGGUUGGCGACGGCACCACAAUCUCAAUAUGGACAGACCCUUGGAUACCAACCACAAUAUCACUGAAACCUAGUGGCCGCAUAGGAGAUGCUGCACUCACAAAACUUUCAGAGUUGAUCGAUGUUUAUACAGGAAGGUGGAAUGUGGAUUUAAUCCGUCAAAACUUCACUCCCCCCGACGUGAUAGCAAUAAUGAAUAUCCCAUUGAGGGUGUCGGGCGGAGAAGAUACUUUGGCAUGGGCUUUGGAAAGGUCAGGACACUAUCUGUCAAAUCGGCGUACCGAUCUCUCAUGA